UUUUUCUAAGGUUUGUGCCAUUGGCUGCCAGUGGUUUUCUUUAGCUCCUUUGGAUGAUUCUUUCUACGUCAAACAAAUAGCUUCAUCAAGAACUUUUUGCAUAUACGAGGAGGUGGAGCAAAUGCGAAAUAUAGGACUCAUUAAAGGGGGAACAUUAGAGAAUGCUAUUGUUUGCAGUGCCAGUAAAGGCUGGUUGAAUCCACCACUUCGUUUCCCUGAUGAACCUUGUCGUCAUAAGAUCUUGGAUCUUAUUGGUGACCUUUCCCUGUUUGCACGGCUUGGUAAUCAAGGGCUUCCAGUGGCACACAUAAUUGCUUACAAGGGUG
RNAcentral lists this unclassified non-coding RNA (326 nucleotides) under Hevea brasiliensis (rubber tree). The record is from RNAcentral. Lineage: Eukaryota; Viridiplantae; Streptophyta; Magnoliopsida; Malpighiales; Euphorbiaceae.